CACUUCCCUCGCCUGAAUUUCUUGAUUGUUUCUUAUUUUCUUUUUCAUCCAUCUUUGGUUUUUAACACAUUUUAUUACUGUGAACAUGCAUUGGAUUCAUUGUAGACCCGGACCUUUGUGUUGAUAAGGAUUCUGUUUGUGGUUCAGAUUUAAAGAAGACGAUAUGGAAAUUUUCACUGGUCGUGCAAAAAUCAAGGAGAAAGGAACGAGGGCGAGGGAAAAACAGAGAGAGAGAUCGACAAAGACUCUCCAUUUUCUCAUAAUUCCUUCAAGCGUUUGUCCACCAUUCACUAAAUUCAUUUCCUUCUGUUUUCAUGUGUGAUUGUUGAUUAUUUCAAUUCUUUCUUCAUUAGUCAUAUAUAUAUAUAUAUGUAUUGUAGUGAUUUUUCUGCUUCCUUUAUAUGAUGCUUUGAAGUUUGAACUAAACUCUUACUAGGUUUAUGCUUUGGUUUUGAUUUCCCUCUUUUUAGUAUAUAACUAGGGCUUCUUUUGGGCAAUCAAUUUUUCUGAUCUUCAUUCUUUUCAGUAUCUAAUUGGGUUUAUUUACUUUUUUGGAGUAAUUAGUAACUUUUCUGAUCUUCAUUCUUUACAGGUAUGUUUUUUCUUUCAUCAACUCCUCUACAAAUUGUUGAGUUCUUGAAUGACUUCCAUUAUUGUUUACAGAUUUACGAAGGAUUGGACUUUGAAAAAUCACUACAAGCUCUGCAAAUUUUUGUGGUGAUACUAUUCGUUGGUGGAAAGACGUUUUGAUGGUUCGGCGUUUGUCAAGUAUGACAACGCUCAAAUGCUUUAUUUUAUAGGCAUGAUUGUUAUUCAACCGGUUGUUGAAUUUGCUCUUCAAUUGGUACCCAUUUGUAGUACAUAUGUUUUUAUGCAUGCACAAAUGUGGAGGGGACAUGACCAACAUAAGCAUGUCACCUUUCAUUGAUAAGAUCGAGUAGACAGAACCAUCCCAGAUACACUGGUGAAAACAAAUAUUACUUAUAUUCCGACAAACGCAGCAAUUCAGCCUAAUAGUGCACUGGGGGUAGACGGGCACCAAAAUAACACACCAGUCCAACCACAAAGAACCAUAGGCAUGUCUUGUUUUCAUCACUCCAUACGAUCAAUACUGGAGCAUCACAUCACUAAUAGUUGAGCACCGCGGACCUAGUGGUCCAAUUCCUCCUAUUGGUCGCUCUCGAUCUAUCACCAUGGCUCCCAACGGUGCAGAUCUUGCAACACGGCUUCCAGCCUUGCUGAUCUUGCCCUACGA
This is a non-coding RNA of Malus domestica (apple), 1255 nucleotides long. The record is from RefSeq and is a predicted model, not a curated record. NCBI's taxonomy places the organism in Eukaryota, Viridiplantae, Streptophyta, Magnoliopsida, Rosales, Rosaceae.